UACGGGAGGCAGCAGUGAGGAAUAUUGGUCAAUGGGCGUAGGCCUGAACCAGCCAAGUAGCGUGCAGGAAGACUGCCCUAUGGGUUGUAAACUGCUUUUAUCAGGGGAUAAAGUGGGAAACGUGUUUUCCAUUGCAGGUACCUGAUGAAUAAGGACCGGCUAACUACGUGCCAGCAGCCGCGGUAAU
Molecule: ribosomal RNA, 187 nt
Filed under: uncultured rumen bacterium
Lineage: Bacteria
Description: partial 16S ribosomal RNA
Rfam family: Bacterial small subunit ribosomal RNA
Source: RNAcentral